UGGUUUCUGAAGAAUGCAACAUUUAUCUGCCAGAGGGUGAAAAGGGUGUCGUCCUCACACACCUUAAAGCAAAAGUGCCUCGAGAGUAUCUGCGAGUCAGUGUGAGAACCUGCCCGUCUUCAGGCCGAGACCUUCACCCAGCCUGGCCACGUCUGCAGAGCUCUCAGGCUCCAGCAAGAUCACCCAUGCAUUGAAUGUGGUUCUUUGGAGAAGU
RNAcentral lists this long non-coding RNA (214 nucleotides) under Ictidomys tridecemlineatus (thirteen-lined ground squirrel). RNAcentral's name for it is "lncRNA (ENSSTOG00000034122.1)". Lineage: Eukaryota; Metazoa; Chordata; Mammalia; Rodentia; Sciuridae. The record is from RNAcentral.